AACGCGAAGAACCUUACCAAGGUUUGACAUGCAGGGAAAAGCCGUAGAGAUACGGUGUCCGUAAGGGCCCUGCACAGGUGGUGCAUGGCUGUCGUCAGCUCGUGUCGUGAGAUGUUGGGUUAAGUCCCGCAACGAGCGCAACCCUCGUCCUAUGUUGCCAGCGGAUAAUGCCGGGGACUCAUAGGAGACUGCCGGGGUCAACUCGGAGGAAGGUGGGGAUGACGUCAAGUCCUCAUGCCCCUUACAUCUUGGGCUGCAAACAUGCUACAAUGGCCGGUACAGAGGGCUGCGAGACCGCAAGGUGGAGCGAAUCUCAAAAAGCCGGUCUCAGUUCGGAUUGGGGUCUGCAACUCGACCCCAUGAAGUCGGAGUCGCUAGUAAUCGCGAAUCAGCAACGUCGCGGUGAAUACGUUCCCGGGCCUUGUA
This 426-nucleotide ribosomal RNA is filed under the name uncultured Actinomycetes bacterium. RNAcentral describes it as "bacterial SSU rRNA". It matches the Rfam family "Bacterial small subunit ribosomal RNA", at positions 958 to 1385 of the family's 1533-position model. The record is from RNAcentral. Lineage: Bacteria; Bacillati; Actinomycetota; Actinomycetes.